This 593-nucleotide ribosomal RNA is filed under the name sordariomycete sp. OMAMP. RNAcentral describes it as "eukaryotic LSU rRNA". It matches the Rfam family "Eukaryotic large subunit ribosomal RNA", at positions 1 to 597 of the family's 3401-position model. RNAcentral also lists the same sequence under 1 other name. The record is from RNAcentral. Lineage: Eukaryota; Fungi; Ascomycota; Sordariomycetes.
UUGACCUCGGAUCAGGUAGGAAUACCCGCUGAACUUAAGCAUAUCAAUAAGCGGAGGAAAAGAAACCAACAGGGAUUGCCCCAGUAACGGCGAGUGAAGCGGCAACAGCUCAAAUUUGAAAUCUGGCCCCCCUCGGGGGCCCGAGUUGUAAUCUGUAGAGGAUGCUUUUGGCGAGGCGCCUUCCGAGUUCCCUGGAACGGGACGCCAGAGAGGGUGAGAGCCCCGUAUGGUUGGACGCCGAGCCUCUGUAAAGCUCCUUCGACGAGUCGAGUAGCUUGGGAAUGCUGCUCUAAAUGGGAGGUAAACUUCUUCUAAAGCUAAAUACCGGCCAGAGACCGAUAGCGCACAAGUAGAGUGAUCGAAAGAUGAAAAGCACUUUGAAAAGAGGGUCAAACAGUACGUGAAAUUGUUGAAAGGGAAGCGCUCGUGACCAGACUUGCGCCGUGGGGAUCAUCCGGCGGACUCCGCCGGUGCACUCCCUGCGGCUCAGGCCAGCGUCGGUUGUCGCGGGGGGAUAAAGGCUCGGGGAACGUGGCUCCCUCCGGGGAGUGUUAUAGCCCCUUGCGCAAUACCCCCGCUGGCGACCGAGGUCC